UUUCGAUUAUCGACUCAUCGUUUGUGGUGUCUCACCCUUAGGUUUGGAUCCCCAUCUUUCUAUCUAUCUUCCUCAAGGGUCAUGGCCGUCGGUGAUCGGCCAAUGAUCAGAGAAAUUUAAGAAAAGGGGGCGGUCCCCUAUUUUUUCGAUUUUUUCUUGAUUUCUCACUAGCCGAACCUUGCCGCUAGCCAUUUCUUACCCCAUCGUCGUCGGUCAUAACUGCC
Molecule: long non-coding RNA, 224 nt
Filed under: Elaeis guineensis (African oil palm)
Lineage: Eukaryota; Viridiplantae; Streptophyta; Magnoliopsida; Arecales; Arecaceae
Description: long non-coding RNA (EGUI_LNC077248)
Source: RNAcentral